AGAGCGAACGCUGGCGGCAGGCCUAACACAUGCAAGUCGAACGAGCCUUCGGGCUAGUGGCGGACGGGUGAGUAACACGUGGGAACGUACCUUUAGGUUCGGAAUAACGCAGAGAAAUUUGCGCUAAUACCGAAUGUGCCCUUCGGGGGAAAGAUUUAUCGCCUUUAGAGCGGCCCGCGUUAGAUUAGCUAGUUGGUGAGGUAAAGGCUCACCAAGGCUACGAUCUAUAGCUGGUCUGAGAGGAUGAUCAGCCACAUUGGGACUGAGACACGGCCCAAACUCCUACGGGAGGCAGCAGUGGGGAAUCUUGCGCAAUGGGCGAAAGCCUGACGCAGCCAUGCCGCGUGAAUGAUGAAGGUCUUAGGAUUGUAAAAUUCUUUCAGCAGGGACGAUAAUGACGGUACCUGCAGAAGAAGCCCCGGCUAACUUCGCGCCAGCAGCCGC
RNAcentral lists this ribosomal RNA (444 nucleotides) under uncultured bacterium. RNAcentral's name for it is "SSU rRNA". It matches the Rfam family "Bacterial small subunit ribosomal RNA", at positions 26 to 518 of the family's 1533-position model. The record is from RNAcentral.